Molecule: ribosomal RNA, 497 nt
Filed under: uncultured bacterium
Lineage: Bacteria
Description: partial 16S ribosomal RNA
Rfam family: Bacterial small subunit ribosomal RNA
Source: RNAcentral
GAUGAACGCUGGCGGCGUGCCUAAUACAUGCAAGUCGAGCGAACAGAUGAGGAGCUUGCUCCUCUGACGUUAGCGGCGGACGGGUGAGUAACACGUGGAUAACCUACCUAUAAGACUGGGAUAACUUCGGGAAACCGGAGCUAAUACCGGAUAAUAUAUUGAACCGCAUGGUUCAAUAGUGAAAGACGGUUUUGCUGUCACUUAUAGAUGGAUCCGCGCCGCAUUAGCUAGUUGGUAAGGUAACGGCUUACCAAGGCAACGAUGCGUAGCCGACCUGAGAGGGUGUUCGGCCACCCUGGAACUGAGACACGGUCCAGACUCCUACGGGAGGCAGCAGUAGGGAAUCUUCCGCAAUGGGCGAAAGCCUGACGGAGCAACGCCGCGUGAGUGAUGAAGGUCUUCGGAUCGUAAAACUCUGUUAUUAGGGAAGAACAAAUGUGUAAGUAACUAUGCACGUCUUGACGGUACCUAAUCAGAAAGCCACGGCUAACUACGUG